This 406-nucleotide ribosomal RNA is filed under the name uncultured bacterium. RNAcentral describes it as "bacterial SSU rRNA". It matches the Rfam family "Bacterial small subunit ribosomal RNA", at positions 355 to 776 of the family's 1533-position model. The record is from RNAcentral.
UGGGGAAUCUUGCGCAAUGGGCGAAAGCCUGACGCAGCAACGCCGCGUGUGUGAUGAAGGUUUUCGGAUCGUAAAGCACUGUCAGGAGGGAAGAAUUUUUGACGGUACCUCCAAAGGAAGCACCGGCUAACUCCGUGCCAGCAGCCGCGGUAAUACGGAGGGUGCAAGCGUUGUUCGGAAUCAUUGGGCGUAAAGCGCGCGCAGGCGGUUUGCCAAGUCUGAUGUGAAAGCCCGGGGCUCAACCUCGGAACUGCAUUGGAAACUGGUAGACUUGAGUAUGAGAGGGGUUUGUGGAAUUCCUGGUGUAGGGGUGAAAUCCGUAGAGAUCAGGAGGAACACCGGUGGCGAAGGCGACAAACUGGAUCAUUACUGACGCUGAGGCGCGAAAGCGUGGGGAGCAAACAGG